GAUGAACGCUGGCGGCGUGCCUAAUACAUGCAAGUCGAGCGAACGGACGAGAAGCUUGCUUCUCUGAUGUUAGCGGCGGACGGGUGAGUAACACGUGGAUAACCUACCUAUAAGACUGGGAUAACUUCGGGAAACCGGAGCUAAUACCGGAUAAUAUUUUGAACCGCAUGGUUCAAAAGUGAAAGACAGUCUUGUUGUCACUUAUAGAUGGAUCCGCGCUGCAUUAGCUAGUUGGUAAGGUAACGGCUUACCAAGGCAACGAUGCAUAGCCGACCUGAGAGGGUGAUCGGCCACACUGGAACUGAGACACGGUCCAGACUCCUACGGGAGGCAGCAGUAGGGAAUCUUCCGCAAUGGGCGAAAGCCUGACGGAGCAACGCCGCGUGAGUGAUGAAGGUCUUCGGAUCGUAAAACUCUGUUAUUAGGGAAGAACAUAUGUGUAAGUAACUGUGCACAUCUUGACGGUACCUAAUCAGAAAGCCACGGCUAACUACGUGCCAGCAGCCGCGGUAAUACGUAGGUGACAAGCGUUAUCCGGAAUUAUUGGGCGUAAAGCGCGCGUAGGCGGUUUUUUAAGUCUGAUGUGAAAGCCCACGGCUCAACCGUGGAGGGUCAUUGGAAACUGGAAAACUUGAGUGCAGAAGAGGAAAGUGGAAUUCCAUGUGUAGCGGUGAAAUGCGCAGAGAUAUGGAGGAACACCAGUGGCGAAGGCGACUUUCUGGUCUGUAACUGACGCUGAUGUGCGAAAGCGUGGGGAUCAAACAGGAUUAGAUACCCUGGUAGUCCACGCCGUAAACGAUGAGUGCUAAGUGUUAGGGGGUUUCCGCCCCUUAGUGCUGCAGCUAACGCAUUAAGCACUCCGCCUGGGGAGUACGACCGCAAGGUUGAAACUCAAAGGAAUUGACGGGGACCCGCACAAGCGGUGGAGCAUGUGGUUUAAUUCGAAGCAACGCGAAGAACCUUACCAAAUCUUGACAUCCUUUGACAACUCUAGAGAUAGAGCCUUCCCCUUCGGGGGACAAAGUGACAGGUGGUGCAUGGUUGUCGUCAGCUCGUGUCGUGAGAUGUUGGGUUAAGUCCCGCAACGAGCGCAACCCUUAAGCUUAGUUGCCAUCAUUAAGUUGGGCACUCUAAGUUGACUGCCGGUGACAAACCGGAGGAAGGUGGGGAUGACGUCAAAUCAUCAUGCCCCUUAUGAUUUGGGCUACACACGUGCUACAAUGGACAAUACAAAGGGCAGCGAAACCGCGAGGUCAAGCAAAUCCCAUAAAGUUGUUCUCAGUUCGGAUUGUAGUCUGCAACUCGACUACAUGAAGCUGGAAUCGCUAGUAAUCGUAGAUCAGCAUGCUACGGUGAAUACGUUCCCGGGUCU
RNAcentral lists this ribosomal RNA (1372 nucleotides) under uncultured bacterium. RNAcentral's name for it is "bacterial SSU rRNA". It matches the Rfam family "Bacterial small subunit ribosomal RNA", at positions 28 to 1381 of the family's 1533-position model. The record is from RNAcentral.